GUCACGACGCUCUUCCGAUAUUUUAUUUGUCACAGGUCCCAGGGCAGUGCUGGGUGCUUUAUUUCACGCAGGGUGCCUGCCCGGGGCGGGGGGGAUGUACACAGGGGUGGGCGCUCAGAGCCCGCGGGGGCCUACUGGAGGGCCGGGCGCGCUGCUCAUUUACCCGGAGACUGGGUGAGGGAUAUCUGUGUGUGGUGGCUGUGCAGAG
This is a long non-coding RNA of Leopardus geoffroyi (Geoffroy's cat), 208 nucleotides long. RefSeq lists it as uncharacterized. The record is from RefSeq and is a predicted model, not a curated record. Lineage: Eukaryota; Metazoa; Chordata; Mammalia; Carnivora; Felidae. The transcript is spliced from 4 exons.